GCUGCUCAAGUAUGUUGCCUCUCCGUGGCGAGCAGCAGGCAACGAGAGACUCUCUCGGCUAAAAGCAUAU
Molecule: ribozyme, 70 nt
Filed under: unclassified sequences
Description: HDV ribozyme from F. prausnitzii
Rfam family: HDV ribozyme from F. prausnitzii
Source: RNAcentral